UACGUAGGUCCCGAGCGUUGUCCGGAUUUAUUGGGCGUAAAGCGAGCGCAGGUGGUUUAUUAAGUCUGGUGUAAAAGGCAGUGGCUCAACCAUUGUAUGCAUUGGAAACUGGUAGGCUUGAGUGCAGGAGAGGAGAGUGGAAUUCCAUGCGUAGCGGUGAAAUGCGUAGAUAUAUGGAGGAACACCGGUGGCGAAAGCGGCUCUCUGGCCUGUAACUGACACUGAGGCUCGAAAGCGUGGGGAGCAAACAGG
This 252-nucleotide ribosomal RNA is filed under the name uncultured bacterium. RNAcentral's name for it is "partial 16S ribosomal RNA". It matches the Rfam family "Bacterial small subunit ribosomal RNA", at positions 524 to 776 of the family's 1533-position model. The record is from RNAcentral.